GUCUUCGUAGUUCAAUGGAUAGAACGGGGUCCUCCUAAGACUCAGAUACAGGUUCGAUUCCUGUCGAAGGCACCA
RNAcentral lists this transfer RNA (75 nucleotides) under Variovorax paradoxus. RNAcentral's name for it is "tRNA-Arg". It matches the Rfam family "tRNA". From Rfam's summary of the family: Transfer RNA (tRNA) molecules are approximately 80 nucleotides in length. Their secondary structure includes four short double-helical elements and three loops (D, anti-codon, and T loops). Lineage: Bacteria; Pseudomonadati; Pseudomonadota; Betaproteobacteria; Burkholderiales; Comamonadaceae. The record is from RNAcentral. RNAcentral also lists the same sequence under 209 other names.